GUCGAACGGAGUACCCCUGAAGGAGUUUUCGGACAACUGAUGGGACUACUUAGUGGCGGACGGGUGAGUAACGCGUGAGUAACCUGCCUUGGAGUGGGGAAUAACAGCUGGAAACAGCUGCUAAUACCGCAUAAUAUGUCUGUGUCGCAUGGCACUGGACAUCAAAGAUUUAUCGCUCUGAGAUGGACUCGCGUCUGAUUAGCUAGUUGGCGGGGUAACGGCCCACCAAGGCGACGAUCAGUAGCCGGACUGAGAGGUUGGCCGGCCACAUUGGGACUGAGACACGGCCCAGACUCCUACGGGAGGCAGCAGUGGGGAAUAUUGGGCAAUGGGCGCAAGCCUGACCCAGCAACGCCGCGUGAAGGAAGAAGGCUUUCGGGUUGUAAACUUCUUUUCUCGGGGACGAAGCAAGUGACGGUACCUGAGGAAUAAGCCACGGCUAACUACGUGCCAGCAGCCGCGGUAAUACGUAGGUGGCAAGCGUUAUCCGGAUUUACUGGGUGUAAAGGGCGUGUAGGCGGGACUGCAAGUCAGAUGUGAAAACCACGGGCUCAACCUGUGGCCUGCAUUUGAAACUGUAGUUCUUGAGUACUGGAGAGGCAGACGGAAUUCCUAGUGUAGCGGUGAAAUGCGUAGAUAUUAGGAGGAACACCGGCGGCGAAGGCGGCCUGCUGGACCGCGACUGACGUUGAGGCUCGAAAGCGUGGGGAGCAAACAGGAUUAGAUACCCUGGUAGUCCACGCCGUAAACGAUGACUACUAGGUGUCGGGGGAC
Molecule: ribosomal RNA, 774 nt
Filed under: uncultured bacterium
Lineage: Bacteria
Description: bacterial SSU rRNA
Rfam family: Bacterial small subunit ribosomal RNA
Source: RNAcentral